RNAcentral lists this ribosomal RNA (253 nucleotides) under uncultured bacterium. RNAcentral describes it as "partial 16S ribosomal RNA". It matches the Rfam family "Bacterial small subunit ribosomal RNA", at positions 524 to 776 of the family's 1533-position model. The record is from RNAcentral.
UACGAAGGGGGCUAGCGUUGCUCGGAAUUACUGGGCGUAAAGCGUGCGUAGGUGGUUUGUUAAGUCUGUUGUGAAAGCCCCGGGCUCAACCUGGGAAUGGCAAUGGAUACUGGCAAGCUAGAGUGCGGUAGAGGGUAGUGGAAUUCCCGGUGUAGCGGUGAAAUGCGUAGAGAUCGGGAGGAACACCAGUGGCGAAGGCGGCUACCUGGACCAGCACUGACACUGAGGCACGAAAGCGUGGGGAGCAAACAGG